UACAGAGGGUGCGAGCGUUGUUCGGAAUUAUUGGGCGUAAAGGGCGCGUAGGCGGUGCGGUAAGUCACCUGUGAAAUCUCCUGGCUCAACUGGGAGCUUGCAGGCGAAACUGCCGUGCUGGAGUGUGGGAGAGGUGCGUGGAAUUCCUGGUGUAGCGGUGAAAUGCGUAGAUAUCAGGAGGAACACCGAUGGCGAAGGCAGGUCUCUGGGCUGACACUGACGCUGAGGAGCGAAAGCGUGGGGAGCGAACAGG
RNAcentral lists this ribosomal RNA (253 nucleotides) under uncultured bacterium. RNAcentral's name for it is "partial 16S ribosomal RNA". It matches the Rfam family "Bacterial small subunit ribosomal RNA", at positions 524 to 776 of the family's 1533-position model. The record is from RNAcentral.